This 256-nucleotide ribosomal RNA is filed under the name uncultured microorganism. RNAcentral describes it as "partial small subunit ribosomal RNA". It matches the Rfam family "Bacterial small subunit ribosomal RNA", at positions 524 to 776 of the family's 1533-position model. The record is from RNAcentral.
UACGGGGGAGCAAGCGUUGUUCGGAUUUACUGGGCGUAAAGGGCGCGUAGGCGGCCACCGCAAGUCGGUUGUGAAAUCUCUGGGCUUAAACCCCAGAAAAGGUCAAUCGAUACUGCGGGGCUAGAGUGCAGAAGGGGCAACUGGAAUUCUCGGUGUAGCGGUGAAAUGCGUAGAUAUCGAGAGGAACACCUGCGGCGAAGGCGGGUUGCUGGGCUGACACUGACGCUGAAGCGCGAAAGCGUAGGUAUCGAACGGG